RNAcentral lists this ribosomal RNA (392 nucleotides) under Phataginus tricuspis (Tree pangolin). RNAcentral's name for it is "partial 12S ribosomal RNA". It matches the Rfam family "Bacterial small subunit ribosomal RNA", at positions 796 to 1384 of the family's 1533-position model. The record is from RNAcentral. Lineage: Eukaryota; Metazoa; Chordata; Mammalia; Pholidota; Manidae.
UUAGCCCUAAACCCAGAUAAUUUUUUAAACAAAAUUAUUCGCCAGAGUACUACUAGCAAUAGCCUGAAACUCAAAGGACUUGGCGGUGCUUCAUAUCCCUCUAGAGGAGCCUGUCCUAUAAACGAUAAACCCCGAUAGACCUUACCAACCCUAGCUAAUACAGCCUAUAUACCGCCAUCCUCAGCAAACCCUGAUAAAGGAAAUAUAGUAAGCAAGAUUGUUAAAAUACAAAAACGUUAGGUCAAGGUGUAGCUUAUGAGUUGGAAAGAGAUGGGCUACAUUUUCUCAAAACAGAAAAAAAAACGAACAUUCUUAUGAUAUUAAGAGUUAAAGGAGGAUUUAGUAGUAAGCUAAGAAUAGAGAGCUUGGCUGAAUUAGGCCCUGAAGCACGC